RNAcentral lists this ribosomal RNA (381 nucleotides) under uncultured delta proteobacterium. Its description in RNAcentral is "bacterial SSU rRNA". It matches the Rfam family "Bacterial small subunit ribosomal RNA", at positions 163 to 523 of the family's 1533-position model. The record is from RNAcentral. Lineage: Bacteria; Deltaproteobacteria.
CUAAUACGCAUGAGACCACGGCUUCGAAAGAAGCAGAGGUAAAAGCAGCCCUCUUCAUGAAAGGUUGCACUCGAGGAUGAGCCCGCGGCCCAUCAGGCAGUUGGCAGGGUAACGGCCUACCAAACCUAAGACGGGUAGCUGGUCUGAGAGGAUGAUCAGCCACACUGGAACUGAGACACGGUCCAGACUCCUACGGGAGGCAGCAGUGGGGAAUCUUGCGCAAUGGACGAAAGUCUGACGCAGCGACGCCGCGUGGGUGAUGAAGGCCUUCGGGUUGUAAAGCCCUGUGGGUGGGGACGAAUAAGUGCAACCUAAUACGUUGCAUGAUGACGGUACCCACUUAGCAAGCACCGGCUAACUCUGUGCCAGCAGCCGCGGUAA